ACUCAAAGGAAUUGACGGGGGCCCGCACAAGCGGUGGAGCAUGUGGUUUAAUUCGACGCAACGCGAAGAACCUUACCUGGGUUUGAACUGAGGAGGACAGCCUGUGAAAGCAGGUCUCCCUUCGGGGUCUCCUCAGAGGUGCUGCAUGGCUGUCGUCAGCUCGUGUCGUGAGAUGUUGGGUUAAGUCCCGUAACGAGCGCAACCCCUAUCCUUAGUUGCCAGCGGGUCAAGCCGGGAACUCUAAGGAAACUGCCGGUGAUAAACCGGAGGAAGGUGGGGAUGACGUCAAGUCCUCAUGGCCUUUAUGUCCAGGGCUACACACGUGCUACAAUGGUCGGUACAAAGGGCUGCGAAGCCGCGAGGUGAAGCUAAUCCCAAAAAGCCGAUCUCAGUUCGGAUUGGAGUCUGCAACCCGACUCCAUGAAGGUGGAAUCGCUAGUAAUCACGGAUCAGCAUGCCGUGGUGAAUACGUUCCCGGGCCUUGUACACACCGCCCGU
Molecule: ribosomal RNA, 498 nt
Filed under: uncultured bacterium
Lineage: Bacteria
Description: partial 16S ribosomal RNA
Rfam family: Bacterial small subunit ribosomal RNA
Source: RNAcentral